GCCUGAUACAAAUGGGUUAUAUGUUAAAAAAAACCCUAAAAGUUUUACUUCAUUUUUCAGCAACCGUAACUCAGAUUACAUCUCUCUCCUCUUGCUCUCCCCUCUCUCUCUCUCCUCAGAGAUUACUUCCUUUAAUGGCGAUUUUCUCUCAGUUCUUUCUCUCUUCCACCUGUCCUUACCUCAAUUUUAUCUCUACUUCCUCCAUUGUUGAACCUCUCUUCACUUUCAGCCUCCAAUUUCACAGCCUAAUUAUACCUCAUACUAACCCUAAGAUUUUUAAGAAGAAUCAUGCAUCGUUGUACGUUCAACAAGCUGCUUACGAUUCUGAUGAAGAAGAUGAUGCGCACUGAGAUCAUCAUUAAGGCUUCUCGUACCCAAAUGUUCUUGGUGAUUUCCCUAUUUUUUGGCUUUCUGAUUUGAUUUAAUAUUAUUAGGGUAAGGUUGAUUCUCAUAUCCAAAGUUAACAAGAGAAUCUCUUAAGAACUAACUGUAUACCUGAAGUUAGGGUGUUUCCGGGUUAUCGAACUCCUCAGAUCCAAUUUCAGCGAAAGCCAGGUUCUUUUAAGGUGGAUUAUUGAACUGUCUGGUUGUGAUUAUUCAAGUUAUGAUUGCUUAUUAUGAGUGAUUUUACUGCUGCAAUUUUGCUAUCUGCAAUUUGUUUCUGCCUUUGUUUAAUUUCUUAUUGGUUUCUCUCCUCCAUUGUUUUGUUUGGAGCCUCCACUCUUUCUUCAAAACUUACCUUCAACUCGCCGCCGGUGAGCCACCAUGGUCCACGUCGUCUACGAAACUAGUCGCCUGACGCUGUCCACCGUUCUCCGGCAGUUCGCAGCAGUGAGGCCAAUGACGAGGUUCGACAGACGACAGCGCACAGCGGACAACCUUCAAUUCCGUUAGACAGUCACCAAAAUUAAAAAACCAAAGUCCUGUCUGUCGCUCGGUCGCUGCCUGCCAAACCCCUCAUCGUCGUCGGUCGUCCGUCAGUCGCCAGUCGCCGCCUCGGUCAUCUUCUGGUCUUCGCUGCAUCUAAAGGAUACAAAUCUAAACUCGAUGGUGUAUAGAUGGGAAGACAUUUAAGAAGCCACACCUUCUUUAUGAGAAGCAGCGAUUGGAUGCUGAGUUGAAGCAUGUAGGUGAGUAUGAGCCGUAUCCGUAAUGUUUCAAGGCAUCUUCUUACUUUGGAUGAGAACCCUCGCCGUAUCUUUGAGGGAGAAGAUCUUUUGAGGAGGAUGAAUAGGUACGAGCUAUUGGAUGAAGGAUAGAACAAGCCCGAUUACAUGUUGGCUCUUACCGUUGAGAACUUCUUGGAGAGGUGUCUUCAGACCCUCAUCUUCAAGUAUGGUAUGGCCAAGUCUGUUCACCAUGCUAGGGUGCUUAUCAGGCUGAGGCAUAUUAGGAGUGCUUUUCUCUUGUAUGCCACCAUAAGAUGGAUCAAAUUUCUUGCAUUGUUCUUUAAAAAAUAGAGGAAAAAGAGGCUUCAACUGUUCCUGAUUGGGAUUGGAGUUGAUUGGAAUUAAGUUCGGCCUUGCGAGCGAUCAUGAAAUUGAUUUUUGUCCAAGGAAAGUCCCGUAUGAUGUUGAAGAGUUGAAUGUGGUUCGAGAACAGUGGGCGCAAUACUUUAGAACUAUAUAUUUAUUGAAUGCAUAACUAUUAGCUUAGGUAGAACAAAGUUAUUAGUGUUGUUGUAUGUGUUGGAUAAAUUUAUACAAGUUUUUAUUUGUAAUGUCUUACUACUUAAAUUUUUAUAUUAUGUCGUAUUAAUUUUUACGAAAGUUUGUUCG
Long non-coding RNA from Chenopodium quinoa (quinoa), 1778 nucleotides. RefSeq lists it as uncharacterized. Lineage: Eukaryota; Viridiplantae; Streptophyta; Magnoliopsida; Caryophyllales; Amaranthaceae. The record is from RefSeq and is a predicted model, not a curated record. The transcript has 5 exons.